Molecule: long non-coding RNA, 822 nt
Organism: Lolium rigidum
Lineage: Eukaryota; Viridiplantae; Streptophyta; Magnoliopsida; Poales; Poaceae
Exons: 5
Source: RefSeq, a predicted model, not a curated record
UCCUCUGCCUCCUCCUAUUUCCAGUUUUUUAUUGAUUCUUGCCUAUUGUGUUGAGUUAUAUGGGCUGGCUGGUUGUCAUUGAGCUCCUCCUUCACCUGAUUUAUUCUCUCGUGAAGGCUUGCAGGAUCCCAUCUUGAUUUCCGAUCUCAUUAGAUAAGAGUCACAUGAGGGUGAUUUGAGCAAACAGUUGAUGUCCCUUGAUGUUGUAUGCGAUGUGCAGCUGCAGAGGUUCAGUCCAUGCAUCUUCUGCAAGGUAAAAUUGUACAUGGUAAUAUGGUGUAUAAUCCAGAUGGUGCCAUACAAGCUAUCAUUUGUAUUUGUUCAUGGGGAACCUUUUGUUGCAGAGUAUGCUCGUAUCCGACCAUCAGCUUGUGAAGGGAUCAUAAUAUAUGCCACCUCUCUAUACUGAACACGAUUGGAUUCUGAUGUAUCCUAGCAAUACUCCUCCCUGCCCUCCUCUCACUUGUUCAGGUAGUUAUCCUUCCUUUGCCUCUCUUCUUCAUAUUCUAGAUCUGAAAUCUAUGUCGUAAGCAUUAAGAGUAGAAAAACACUGUAAAGAUGAUAUUAGCUUCUACUGAUGUUGGUACCUUCUGUGGCAAACUAUGUAGUUUUCUACAUAUUUUGUAUAUGUCCUUGGUGAAACCUUUACAUGGCGGAAUAUUAAUUGCUUAUACCUAUGUGUUAGGUUUAUAUCUUCAUGACUAUUUUAAGUUGUUCAGAGGUCGUCCCAAAGAUGAUUGACAACUUCCAUUUCCUGUGCACUGGAGAAAAAGGGGAUGUAUACAAGGGCUGCUUCUUCCACCGAAUCAUCAAAGGAUUUCA